AAAUUGAAGAGUUUGAUCAUGGCUCAGAUUGAACGCUGGCGGCAGGCCUAACACAUGCAAGUCGAACGGUAACAGGAAGCAGCUUGCUGCUUUGCUGACGAGUGGCGGACGGGUGAGUAAUGUCUGGGAAACUGCCUGAUGGAGGGGGAUAACUACUGGAAACGGUGGCUAAUACCGCAUAACGUCGCAAGACCAAAGAGGGGGACCUUCGGGCCUCUUACCAUCAGAUGUGCCCAGAUGGGAUUAGCUAGUUGGUGAGG
RNAcentral lists this ribosomal RNA (260 nucleotides) under Salmonella enterica subsp. enterica serovar Saintpaul. RNAcentral's name for it is "partial 16S ribosomal RNA". It matches the Rfam family "Bacterial small subunit ribosomal RNA", at positions 1 to 257 of the family's 1533-position model. Lineage: Bacteria; Pseudomonadati; Pseudomonadota; Gammaproteobacteria; Enterobacterales; Enterobacteriaceae. The record is from RNAcentral.